This 434-nucleotide ribosomal RNA is filed under the name uncultured bacterium. RNAcentral describes it as "bacterial SSU rRNA". It matches the Rfam family "Bacterial small subunit ribosomal RNA", at positions 351 to 782 of the family's 1533-position model. The record is from RNAcentral.
GCAGUAAGGAAUAUUGGUCAAUGGAGGGAACUCUGAACCAGCCAUGCCGCGUGCAGGACGACUGCCCUAUGGGUUGUAAACUGCUUUUGUACAGGAAUAACCGUAUCUACGAGUAGAUACCUGAAUGUACUGUAAGAAUAAGGAUCGGCUAACUCCGUGCCAGCAGCCGCGGUAAUACGGAGGAUCCGAGCGUUAUCCGGAUUUAUUGGGUUUAAAGGGUGCGUAGGCGGCUUUAUAAGUCAGGGGUGAAAUACGGCAGCUCAACUGUCGCAGUGCCUUUGAUACUGUAGAGCUUGAAUGUGGUUGAAGAUGGCGGAAUGAGACAAGUAGCGGUGAAAUGCAUAGAUAUGUCUCAGAACACCGAUUGCGAAGGCAGCUGUCUAAGCCAUAAUUGACGCUGAUGCACGAAAGCGUGGGGAUCAAACAGGAUUAGA